GUGGAUUAGAUACCCUAGUAGUCCACGCCGUAAACGAUGGGCACUAGGUCCUUGGGGGAGCGACCCCGUGAGGGCCGGCGCUAACGCAUUAAGUGCCCCGCCUGGGGAGUACGGCCGCAAGGCUGAAACUCAAAGGAAUUGACGGGGGCCCGCACAAGCGGUGGAGCAUGUGGUUUAAUUCGACGCAACGCGAAGAACCUUACCUAGGCUUGACAUGGCCGGGAAAGCCAGGGGAAACCUUGGCCCCUCUUCGGAGUCCGGUCACAGGUGCUGCACGGUCGUCGUCAACU
This 290-nucleotide ribosomal RNA is filed under the name uncultured bacterium. RNAcentral's name for it is "partial 16S ribosomal RNA". It matches the Rfam family "Bacterial small subunit ribosomal RNA", at positions 773 to 1060 of the family's 1533-position model. The record is from RNAcentral.